Molecule: ribosomal RNA, 458 nt
Filed under: uncultured Rhodocyclaceae bacterium
Lineage: Bacteria; Pseudomonadati; Pseudomonadota; Betaproteobacteria; Rhodocyclales; Rhodocyclaceae
Description: bacterial SSU rRNA
Rfam family: Bacterial small subunit ribosomal RNA
Source: RNAcentral
GCACAAGCGGUGGAUGAUGUGGAUUAAUUCGAUGCAACGCGAAAACCUUACCUACCUUGACAUGUCCGGAAUCCCGAAGAGAUUUGGGAGUGCUCGCAAGAGAACCGGAACACAGGUGCUGCAUGGCUGUCGUCAGCUCGUGUCGUGAGAUGUUGGGUUAAGUCCCGCAACGAGCGCAACCCUUGUCAUUAGUUGCCAUCAUUUGGUUGGGCACUCUAAUGAGACUGCCGGUGACAAACCGGAGGAAGGUGGGGAUGACGUCAAGUCCUCAUGGCCCUUAUGGGUAGGGCUUCACACGUCAUACAAUGGUCGGUACAGAGGGUUGCCAACCCGCGAGGGGGAGCUAAUCCCACAAAGCCGAUCGUAGUCCGGAUCGCAGUCUGCAACUCGACUGCGUGAAGUCGGAAUCGCUAGUAAUCGUGGAUCAGCAUGUCACGGUGAAUACGUUCCCGGGUCUU